UUAAAGGUGCAAUCUGGGAUAUUUGCUGUUUAAUAUUUGGUGGUGGGCUAAUGUUGAGCUUUAACACAAAUCCCAGAUUGUAUCUUUAAGGUCCAAGCUGCCCUAAACUGCUGUUGUCAUGUUCAUUAGGGGACACAAUGGAAAACAUUUAAAUGUUGUGCAAUGGAAAAAGAAAACGGGCAUUUCAUAUUGGACAAGUCCAGGUGGUAGGUGGUAGGUCUAGGUGGUAGGUCCAGGUGGUAGGUGGUAGGUCCAGGUGGUAGGUGGUCGGUCCAGGUGGUAGGUGGUCGGUCCAGGUGGUAGGUGGUAGGUCCAGGUGGUAGGUGGUAGGUCCAGGUGGUAGGUGGUAGGUCCAGGUGGUAGGUGGUAGGUCCAGGUGGUAGGUGGUAGGUCCAGGUGGUAGGUGGUAGGUCCAGGUGGUAGGUGGUAGGUCCAGGUGGUAGGUGGUAGGUCCAGGUGGUAGGUGGUAGGUCCAGGUGGUAGGCUAGUCCCUCACUGUUUAAUUUUUAUUUUAUUUUUUAUUAUUUUUUUUUUUAUCACCUUUAUUUAACCAGGUAGGCCAGUUGAGAACAAGUCCUCAUUUACAACUGUGACCUGGCCAAGAUAAAACAAAGCAGUGCGACACAAACACAGACAGAGAUAAAACAUGGAAUAAACAAACGUACAGUCAAUAACACAAUAGAAAAGUCUAUAUACAGUAUGUGCAAAUUAAGUAAGAUUAGGGAGGUAAG
Molecule: long non-coding RNA, 731 nt
Organism: Oncorhynchus tshawytscha (Chinook salmon)
Lineage: Eukaryota; Metazoa; Chordata; Actinopteri; Salmoniformes; Salmonidae
Source: Ensembl